GGGGAAAAUCAUCACAUUUCAAUUAGUGAUUCAAAUUUAUUUUGUAGGGUGACCCUGGUGGAAUUAUGGGACCACCUGGACAUCCAGGUCCAAAAGGAGAUAUGGGGCCUCCUGGACCAAGUCUGCCUGGAACACCAGGUCCCACUGGUGUUCCUGGAAACCCAGGUCCAAGGGGGCCAAAGGGAGAAAGAGGACUACCUGGUGUACAGGGAGCACCUGGGGAGAUGGGGCCCCCUGGAAUAGGCAUUCAGGGAUCACCAGUAAGUAAACCAACACCCAGAAUUUGAUCUUCUUGCUGUUCAACACUGAGCAACUGCAAAAGGUAAACAGAGCACAGCAAAAAAGCCAUGAACUCCCUUCUGGCCUGACUCUCAACUCCCACUUUGCUU
Molecule: long non-coding RNA, 389 nt
Filed under: Serinus canaria (Common canary)
Lineage: Eukaryota; Metazoa; Chordata; Aves; Passeriformes; Fringillidae
Description: lncRNA (ENSSCAG00000008099.1)
Source: RNAcentral